RNAcentral lists this ribosomal RNA (417 nucleotides) under uncultured eukaryote. RNAcentral describes it as "SSU rRNA". It matches the Rfam family "Eukaryotic small subunit ribosomal RNA", at positions 592 to 1015 of the family's 1831-position model. The record is from RNAcentral.
CAAUAGCGUAUAUUAAAGUUGUUGCAGUUAAAAGCUCGUAGUUGGAUCUCGGGUCCAGGCUCGCGGUCCGCCUCGCGGCGGUUACUGCCCGUCCUGACCUACCUCCCGGUGUUCCCUUGGUGCUCUUGACUGAGUGUCUCGGGUGGCCGGAACGUUUACUUUGAAAAAUUAGAGUGUUCAAAGCAGGCAGCUCGCCUGAAUAAUGGUGCAUGGAAUAAUGGAAUAGGACCUCGGUUCUAUUUUGUCGGCCUUCGGAACUUGAGGUAAUGAUUAAGAGGGACGGACGGGGGCAUCCGUAUUACGGUGUUAGAGGUGAAAUUCUUGGAUCGCCGUAAGACGAACAACUGCGAAAGCAUUUGCCAAGAAUGUUUUCAUUAAUCAAGAACGAAAGUCAGAGGUUCGAAGACGAUUAGAUAC